CUCAUGAUCUUGGGGUCAUGGGUUCGAGCCCCAUGCUGGGUGUAGAGAUUACUCAAAAAUAAACCAUAAAAUUAAAUAAAUAAAUGAAUACAUAAAACCUGGAAACUACAGUUUUUGUAAUUGCAACUUAUCUUUCUAAGCAAAGUUUUAUUGUAACAGCCAUGUCCAUUCAUUUACUUCUCAACUAUGGCUGCUUUCCUGCUACAACGGUAGUUUUGACAGAGACCAUAUGGCCUGAAAAGCCUAGAGUAUUUAUUAUUAUUAUUUGGACUUCUACAGGGAUAGCUUGCUCAAUCUGAUUUAAAGGAAUAAAAUAAGGUUAUGAGGAGUCUUGCCAGAGUGGAAAGCAUCUCUUUUCUAUGCACAAGGGCAGGAUACCCUUGAAUCCUAAGAUACCUGUCUCUGAAAGCUAUACAGCACAGAGUAGCGGUUAUGAGUAGUCUGGAGCCAGACUGACUGCCUGGGUCUGAACCCCAGCCCUGCUAUUUAACAGCUGUAGAAAACAGCAGUCUCCUCAUCUGUAAAAUGGGGACAACAGUACCUAUUUCAUUGGGUUGCUGGGAUAAAUACAUUAAUUAAUAAUUGCAAAGCCCUCAGAAUAGUGCCUGACACAUUAAAAGCAUUUCAUAAAGGUGAGCUAUUAUUCUUUUCUCUCUCUCACUGUAUAGAGAAACACUUAGUAAGCUUCCUGCCCUGGUGGUGUGCAAGCAGAGACUGGUCUGAAAGACUACAAUAGAGAGGUUAAACUAUGACUUCCAUUGUGUGAUCCAACUUGGAACACAGACUCCAGGAUUCUAAGAUUCUAAAACUGUAUGGCUUAAAAUACCAUGACUUCACAAUUCUUUCAAGUUAACAAGCCAACGAUACUGGCAACUUUCCUUUAUGUUCCCCAAGAAUGUGCUCUGGAAUUUCUAUCCCUAGGGGAAGGCUGCUCUAUUCCUCUAUGCCACAAGGACAAUCAACCACCUUACAAAGUAUUGAGGUUAUCUCUCUAAGGAAAAUCAAAAAGCACCAAGAGUCUGCAGGAGAAUUUGGUUUCCAAGUCUAAGAAUAACUCUUUCUGAAAAUGUUUCCCUUUCUUCAUGUUAUGAAAUGAGAUACACAUAUACUCAGAAUACAAAUCAGCAGCCAGAGUACCCUUGGCAGCCAAAAGAUGAUGCUGCAGAAGAAGGCCUUGCUCAUUUGUCCAGACAGUUUGAGAAGGAAGAAGCAGAGCUAGAGAUCAUUAAGCCCCCAACACAGACAUUUCACAGAUGAGAUGAUGGACAGAUGGCUGACACAGAGCAACUGCUCGCCAGGACUCAGGACCCAGUGCUCCUUCCUCCAACUACAAUAGUUCUCAAGGUUUCCACCUGUGUUAAGAGGCUGCAGAAACUGCCUGGGCUCCCAUCCUGGGCUUUAUCAGUGAGUCAGGUCAAUUCUUCUCUCAAGGAAUACCCUCAUUUGGACUGGACAGUAUCAGAAGGCAUUCUAGUGUUGACAUUCUAAGUCUCUGAGUAUUUCAGUGAGACUUAUGAGAAAAUCACUGCAGUGGACUUUCUACAACUGACUGACAGUCCUGUCCGUACCACUGAGGAUUAUAAAGUCCCCUGGAGCUAUAGCCUCAGCUACCUUGGAGACAAAUCAGUCCCAACCAAGGGGAACAAGGAAAGGAGGAGACAGGCUGUAUUUACUGAAAGCCGCAGAGGAUGCUUGGUAAGUUCGGUUCUCGGUCCCGGUGUCCACUGGGAGGUGGAAGGUGCCUUCAGUACCACAGGAAGACGAGUUCUGUGGCCAGGCCUGUUUCAUCAGCAGAGUUGCUUAAGGGAAGACACAAGAAUGGCAUUAGGCAGAAAUAAGAAGUGGGCACCACCAAUCACAGACACAAAGCAAGGGUCUUGUGCUGGAUGGAAACAUAUAACCCAAGGGGCCCUGUUCAGACACACAGGAUGGUUCAGCCUUUCUGAGAUGGGCGAGUGGGUUGCGGGGAGUGCUGAAGUGAGCUUCCAAAUGAUUUGAAACCAAGGAAAUCUGAGUUUACACUAAGAGAGCCAGGGUUUUCUAUCCACUACCAAAACCUUAUGAAGAUGCCUAUGAAUACCACCUCCUACUGACAUUCUGGCCUAAGGCUCUGGGAUAUUCCUUAGCCGCUUUCUUAUGAAUAUAUCACAACUUGGAGCCUUUGUGUACUGGGCCACAUCAACCAAGUACUCAUUUUUCAUGUCUGAAAUCUCACCUGGGGGGUAUUUAAUAAGUUGUUUUCAAAGAGAGACCUCAAAAGAAUUAUCACGUGACAUGAACCUUACUGGACUGCCAUCUCUUUUAAAGGGACUGAGCUGUGGCGGUUCAGGAGGCAUAGGCUGUCCACAGGGGCUCUUCCCAUUCCUUCUUCUUCUGUACACCCAGCUGGAGCCAGACAGAUAAACAUCUUGCACACCCUUUAUACCUCCUAUUGAGGUGCUGCUGUGCCCCACCUGAGAUAUCUCCUCAUGAAUUAGAGAUGAUCUGCUGGGCCAUUAAGAAAUUCUAUGUCAAACUUGGGAUAGGUGUAAAAUAGAGAUGAGGCCCAGUCUGAAAUCUGCAGACACUUCUCAGGUUCACCUGAAGCUUAGCCUGAGAAAUUUGAAGGAUGAUGUUUCAUAUGAUCUGGAAGUGGGGAAUGACUCAAAAAACUUACCUUCGUGGUAUCCUGUGGGGAAGGAGAGAGGAAAGAGGGUUUCAAAGGGGGGAAAUGCCUAACUUUUAGAGAUUUCUCUUGAUAUACUUUCUCCUAAAGGAGAAACCAUUCUUGACCCAAAUUUCUAUUUAGAGUAGGAAGAACAAUUUUAAUAGUAUCUUUUCCACUCAAAUAACAUCUUGGGUAUGAGGGGUUUUAAAGAACAGUAGCAGGAUGUGGGGGCUACACUGCCAAUAGUUGGAUAUACUGGAAACAUUUUAACAAGGGGCUAAGGUGCAGCACGGUGGCAUGAGAAGUAUGCCUGUCCACUCUGAUUCUGCCAGGGCAAGGACAGCCCGCCUCCAGAGAGAUCCCAUAACCCCUCUGCCCAUCCAGGUAACAGGUAAUGCCUCUGGUUCCUUCGGCCUUGGGAGUACUGCGGCCAGAGGAAGAGGUCAAGGACCCUGCUGUUUUGCCAAACUAAGGCUAGAAGUGUAGCUGUUCUAGGCUGACUCUGUGCUUGCAUUAAUGGCCCGCAAUAUAUACAGCAGAUGCUGAGAAAUGAGAAGGAAAUCAUGGGCAGGAAAGUGACACUAAAAGGAGAAUUCUGGCAGAAGAAAUGGACACCCAGCAGAAUUCCAUGCAGAGUCCAAAGCCUUUGCUGGACACCAAGACAUGGCUCUGCAAACAAUACAGGAGGAGGGCAGUCAAUUUUAAACAAUUACCUUGAGUUUCUUUUCCCCGGGGUGGGAGCAGGGGGUGGGGAUUAAUAAAGGAUCCAAUUAGUGUUGAAAAAUCUUAUCAAGAUGUCUCCAAAUUUAGAAUCUGCCACUCAAUGUGGCUGGAAAGCCCUGGUCACUCCAAACAACUUCCUAAAAAGUGAAACACGUAAUUCUGAGAAGUCAGAUGUCCUCAAGACCCUACAGGGUUCCAUCAGGGAGCAGAAGGCCUGAAUUUAGCCACAUAAAAUUUGGAUGUCCUGUUCCAGGCCAGUUUUUUCCCCCAAGUGGUGCAUACUUCACCAUAAUUUUCAUCAUAAGCCAGAAGUCUGACAUCAGUCUGAAGGACUGCAUGACACUUAAAGCAAAUCAAGAUUAACCAAAGAGUAACUGAAGCCUACACUGCACUCAGCACUGAGGGGAGCGCCACAGUGGACAGGAACACAUGUGGGUCAUGGUCACCGCACACAAGGUACUUAUGGGCUAGCUGGGGAUGCAACACAGCCACACGCCAACCAGAGAGUGAACAAGACAGCAUUAUGCACAAUAAAAUAACAUUCCAGAUUAACCAGGAAAGAAGCAAGUGCGACUGUGCCUUUGAUUAUGUCCUAUCUAACUGAUCAAGUGAACUAAACUGUGUAUGUCCUGAAGAAGUGGGUAUUUCCUUCUGGUUUCAUUAAAAAAGAAAAGAAAACAAA
This is a long non-coding RNA of Felis catus (domestic cat), 4052 nucleotides long. RefSeq lists it as uncharacterized. Lineage: Eukaryota; Metazoa; Chordata; Mammalia; Carnivora; Felidae. The transcript is spliced from 2 exons. The record is from RefSeq and is a predicted model, not a curated record.